CUCAACUUCAAGAAUCGAAGAGCUCAAAAUCCAAUAAUAAAGGGUGACUUUAACAUACUUCUCUCCUCACUGGAUACAUCAUUUAAACAAAAACUAAAUAAAGAAGCUAUAGAACUAAAAAUAUACUAGCUGAAGAACUCCAGCCAUGGUGAGCUUUUUGUACUUGAAGAGCACCUGCUCACAUAAAUAGAGCCAGCCCUGAGCAGCUUGCCCCUCCCACCAGCCUCUGCCUCGUAGAGCUAUUGGGAUGUUCAGGCUAGAUUGUUCUCUGGUAAGGGGUUAAGCCUCACACAGGAUACAAUUUAGUUCCAUCCCCAUUUUGGCGGGAGGGUACUGGGGAUUGAUUGAACUCAGGGGCACUGGACCCCGGAGCCACAGCCCAGCCCUAUUCUCUAUUGUAUUUAGAGACAGGGUCUCACUGAGUUGCUUAGUGCCUUGCCAUUGCUGAGGCUGGCUUUGAACUUGCAAUCCUCCUGUCUCAGCCUCCUGAGCCACUAGGAUCAUAGGAAUGCACCACCAUGCCCGGCUCUAUUCCCAUUUUUUAAGGACACACCAAGCUUGGAAAGUCCUCCAGAGUUUUCAGAAGCUAGAUGAUGAAGUGAUUUCUUUUUCUCUAACAACAGCUGGAUGGCAUUAUGUGCUCUAUGGUCCCUCCUCUGACUCCUGGUAAAGGGGAUUCUUACUUUGGUAUCACCAUUUCUGACUCCCCUGGGAGCUGUGGAGACAGCUUUUCAAGGGGCUCUUAGAAAUUUCUAAAAUGUUAUUGUCUAGUCCAUAUUUCUUUAGCUACAAUGAAUGGGUUAAAAUAUAAUAGAUCUUAAGAGAGUAUUAUGAAGAGUGUUGCUCUACUACUUUAUUAACCCCCUUUUAAAAAUGACGUUUUAAAGCUGGGAGUAUAGUGCAGUGAUAGAGCAUAUGCUUAGCAUGUGCAAGGCUCUGGAUUAUAUCCCUAGUGCCCCCCAAAAUAAUAAUUGACAGUUUCACUCCCUCCUGAGCCUUAGACUCCCAAAGAAUAGCUAGAGAUACUUGAUCAGUAGAACUGCUGUCUGUUUCUGAGGGUAUCAAGUCAAUUCCGUAAGUCAGAAUUUGAAAUAUGAAAAUAUUAUGAUGAAGCACAACUUACAUUUUUCUUUUCUCCCGUCUCUCUAAUCAGACAGAGUAUGAAGUUGCCAUUGAGGAGGAACGAAGAGACUGUGGACUAUCAAU
This 1206-nucleotide long non-coding RNA is filed under the name Marmota monax (woodchuck). The record is from RNAcentral. Lineage: Eukaryota; Metazoa; Chordata; Mammalia; Rodentia; Sciuridae.